This 613-nucleotide long non-coding RNA is filed under the name Fukomys damarensis (Damara mole-rat). Its description in RNAcentral is "lncRNA (ENSFDAG00000028521.1)". Lineage: Eukaryota; Metazoa; Chordata; Mammalia; Rodentia; Bathyergidae. The record is from RNAcentral.
GUCGCCUUGUGCAGGGGCGGGGUCGGCGCAUGUGCAAUGCUGGGGUUGAAGUCGCGCAGGGCGCGCUUUUCCCAGCGUUCUGUUCCCGGCCGCCAGCUGACGCGAACUGUCGCUCCCUUGCCAGGUUCAGCCUCGAGGUUGUCAUUGGAGUUAGGGACCAACAAGAGGUCAUGGAAUGUAGGCUCUCAUCAGUUCUGUGCUUUAUUUCAAGGCUUUGUGCUUGAUAAUAAAAUAAUGUGCCCAAUGACUAUUAAGCCUUCAUAUGAUUUAUUAUUGUCAACUUACACUACUAAAUAAUUUUACUUUCUUUGGGAUCUUUAAUGUGGGAAUCAUGAGUAUUAGUUGUAAGUAUUGUUAAUUUUAGUAACUCCAUAUUUGUUGUUUCUCCAGUUUAAAAGGUGGUGUGUUUCCUUUGUGGAAUUCCUGAAAGUUGCAGUUUCUUGUCUCUGACCUUCAGAUGUGCGGUUGUCUGUGUUACUACUACCCACGGUGGUUGUUUUUGUUGAGCCUUGAUCAGACUCUUGUCUUGGCGUCCUUCCUUUCUCUCUGCCCCAUCUCCACCCCGCUGCUCUUUCAGGUUUGAGGCACUGCUGGACAGUGCUCUGCGUUGCCA